UUGCUGGUGGAUUAGUGGCGAACGGGUGAGUAACACGUGAGUAACCUGCCCUUGACUCUGGGAUAAGCCUGGGAAACUGGGUCUAAUACCGGAUAUGACCUUCCAUCGCAUGGUGGUUGGUGGAAAGCUUUUGUGGUUUUGGAUGGACUCGCGGCCUAUCAGCUUGUUGGUGGGGUAAUGGCCUACCAAGGCGACGACGGGUAGCCGGCCUGAGAGGGUGACCGGCCACACUGGGACUGAGACACGGCCCAGACUCCUACGGGAGGCAGCAGUGGGGAAUAUUGCACAAUGGGCGCAAGCCUGAUGCAGCGACGCCGCGUGAGGGAUGACGGCCUUCGGGUUGUAAACCUCUUUCAGUAGGGAAGAAGCCGUGAGGUGACGGUACCUGCAGAAGAAGCGCCGGCUAACUACGUGCCAGCAGCCGCGGUAAUACGUAGGGCGCAAGCGUUAUCCGGAAUUAUUGGGCGUAAAGAGCUCGUAGGCGGUUUGUCGCGUCUGCCGUGAAAGUCCGGGGCUCAACUCCGGAUCUGCGGUGGGUACGGGCAGACUAGAGUGAUGUAGGGGAGACUGGAAUUCCUGGUGUAGCGGUGAAAUGCGCAGAUAUCAGGAGGAACACCGAUGGCGAAGGCAGGUCUCUGGGCAUUAACUGACGCUGAGGAGCGAAAGCAUGGGGAGCGAACAGGAUUAGAUACCCUGGUAGUCCAUGCCGUAAACGUUGGGCACUAGGUGUGGGGGACAUUCCACGUUUUCCGCGCCGUAGCUAACGCAUUAAGUGCCCCGCCUGGGGAGUACGGCCGCAAGGCUAAAACUCAAAGGAAUUGACGGGGGCCCGCACAAGCGGCGGAGCAUGCGGAUUAAUUCGAUGCAACGCGAAGAACCUUACCAAGGCUUGACAUGAACCAGACCGGACUGGAAACAGUUCUUCCACUUGUGGCUGGUUUACAGGUGGUGCAUGGUUGUCGUCAGCUCGUGUCGUGAGAUGUUGGGUUAAGUCCCGCAACGAGCGCAACCCUCGUUCCAUGUUGCCAGCGCGUUAUGGCGGGGACUCAUGGGAGACUGCCGGGGUCAACUCGGAGGAAGGUGGGGACGACGUCAAAUCAUCAUGCCCCUUAUGUCUUGGGCUUCACGCAUGCUACAAUGGCCGGUACAAAGGGUUGCGAUACUGUGAGGUGGAGCUAAUCCCAAAAAGCCGGUCUCAGUUCGGAUUGGGGUCUGCAACUCGACCCCAUGAAGUCGGAGUCGCUAGUAAUCGCAGAUCAGCAACGCUGCGGUGAAUACGUUCCCGGGCCUUGUACACACCGCCCGUCAAGUCACGAAAGUUGGUAACACCCGAAGCCG
Molecule: ribosomal RNA, 1338 nt
Filed under: Arthrobacter sp.
Lineage: Bacteria; Bacillati; Actinomycetota; Actinomycetes; Micrococcales; Micrococcaceae
Description: bacterial SSU rRNA
Rfam family: Bacterial small subunit ribosomal RNA
Source: RNAcentral